GCCCAGGUGGCGGAAUGGUAGACGCGCUCGUUUCAGGUGCGAGUGUCGAAAGAUGUGCAAGUUCGAGUCUUGUUCUGGGUA
RNAcentral lists this transfer RNA (81 nucleotides) under Acinetobacter sp. RNAcentral describes it as "tRNA-Leu". It matches the Rfam family "tRNA". Rfam says of the family: Transfer RNA (tRNA) molecules are approximately 80 nucleotides in length. The record is from RNAcentral. RNAcentral also lists the same sequence under 1 other name. Lineage: Bacteria; Pseudomonadati; Pseudomonadota; Gammaproteobacteria; Moraxellales; Moraxellaceae.